Molecule: ribosomal RNA, 163 nt
Filed under: uncultured bacterium
Lineage: Bacteria
Description: partial 16S ribosomal RNA
Rfam family: Bacterial small subunit ribosomal RNA
Source: RNAcentral
UAGGGAAUUUUCGUCAAUGGGCGCAAGCCUGAACGAGCAAUGCCGCGUGAGUGAGGAAGGUCUUCGGAUCGUAAAGCUCUGUUGCGGGGGAAAAAGGAAGCAGAAAGGAAAAUGGUCUGCUUUUGAUGGUACCCCGCCAGAAAGUCACGGCUAACUACGUGCC